GCAUCUGGACAUGUGUUUCUCCUUUACUGGACCACCUCCAAGUAGCUCUUGUCUCAUUUCUAUUGGAUGCUUUGGUGGCUGGCCACAAAGCUUGGUUUUAUUGGCCAAAUUUGUGGCAAAGACACGAAGCUAUCUCCUAUUGGUUGGUUUGGGAGGCAGAGACACCUCAUGCUUGCCAUGCACGAUCAAAACCCUUACAUGAGCUCAUUCUCCAACCUAUAAAUAGCAGACCACUCCCUUAGUUUAUUCUCCACUUUUAAAACCCAACCAUAGGCACCCGAGAGAACCCGAGAACACCCGAGCUUUAAGCCGACCGCGAGAUAGGAGCGUUUGCAGUCUGAAACUUUCUUCUAAGUGUCGAGGUCGCGAGGACACAUGUGAUAGGGCUAGCUACCCUCAACCGUGUAGCUGCAUGACGAUGCGGCAAGUGUGUUAUCCGGGCCAUCGGAUUUUUAGACUUUGUGUUUAGAGUCAAUGGGCACAAGAAGGGAUGUAUUAUGGACUUCAUAUCGAGAUAGGAACCAAUGGCGAGAGGCAGUCCUCGACGAUCGGUAACCCGUAGUAGGUUCCAUUUGGGAUCGGAGGAGCACAAAGUUGUUGGUGUAUAUUUGCUACCUUUUGCAAACAUGUACGUUUUGUAAUAUGUAAGAUAUGGUUUUGAACAUCGGCCGAGCAUGUAUAAAGUUUUGAUGUGGUUGAACUUAAAUGAUAUAUGAAUAAGAAAAGGUUUGUGAAAUGCUUGGAUUCCAUAUGAUACUAGUCUUAGUCUGGGACGAACAAACUAACAGUUUCAAACUCGGGUUGCAAAGCCUUAACUUGGAAUCGAUUGGACAUAUGAUCUUGGGAUUUCGGAUCUGAUAUGGGAACCUCGGGUCAAAUGUUUGGGCACGUGGUAGUAAUAUCUUCGAUCUGGUUAGAGUUCUUUAGUUCGUCGUGCAUGUUCUUGUUUGAUUGGUGCAUGGCAAACUAAUUAACUUUUACUUAUUCCGGAUCGGGGGUGCUACAUGCGGACUCCGUGGGGAAUCAAAUGCAUGUGUGACUUUCAGGUUUAGUAAGAGUAGUGCUUUAGCCGCUACGCUGAGGAGAAUCAUCUAUUAUAAUCAAACAAAUAAAUUUAUUUAAACCUAAAUUAUAUAUUAUAAAGUUGGAAAGCAUUUGGAAAUUUCUGGAUGGGUUUCCAGAAAUAAUAUAUUAGUGUGUUUCUAUCUAGCAAAGUUUAAAUUAGAAAUGAAAUGGUAUCAAAAAUUAAGGAUUUGAUAUCUACAUUUUUGGUAAGUUUCAAAUUGUGAUGUACAUAAUUGAUCCAACAUAGCAUUGUUGCACCAAAUAACAAACUGUGACAUUUAUUUUGUAGAUCCUGUAAAUAAAAACUGACAUUAGCGGUUAGCAAAAGACACAUAAAAGCACCUUCUAUCUCUGCAAUUUCAGCUUUGACCAAGUUCUCGUUGUACCAUUCUCCAAUAUAUGUGUAUCCAAAAUCAUCCUCCUUUGAAACAUUGCAAGUAAAAUGUUUCGUAUAUUCUACAAAUAGUUUGUUUUUCAAUGUAAGUCUUUUGCAUAUGUCUUCUUUUUACAUGUAACAACUAAAAAUUCCACAUUUGAAGUUGUUGGUAAGAUAAUUGAUCCAACUUAGCAUUGUUGCACCAAAUAACAAACUCUGGCAUUUAUUUUGUAGAUCCUUUAAAUAAAAACUGACAUUAGUGGUUAGCAAAAGACACAUAAAAGCACCUUCUAUCUCUGCAAUUUCAGCUUUGACCAAUCUCUUAUUGUAUCAUUCUCUAAUAUAUGUAUCCAAAAUCAUCCUCCUCAAAAACAUUGCAAGUAAAAUGUUUCGUAUAUUCUACAAAUAGGUUUUUUUUCUAGUGUAAGCCUUUUGCAUAUGUCUUCUUCUUAUGUGUAAUAGCUAAAAAUUCCAUGUGACAUCUACAGCUGAGUUUCACAUAAGAGUUGAAAACCUGACUUUUGGGAAGCAAAUUCAAUAAAAUAGCUCUUUGUUACUUAAUUUCUAUAAUUUAGGAGCCAACAUUUGUUUCUUCUUCUCAUGCACUUUGUGUCUUCUUAAAAACAUUAUGUCAAACACUUUGUAUGCAAUAUUCUUUGAUUCAACACCUGUCAAAACAAGAGGUCCUUCCUCCAUAGCUAAUCAGUCUUCAUGAUGAAUCACAACAUCAAUUUCAGGAUCAAUAGAUUUCAUUUCUCCAUAGAUAAACAUUACGUUAAUUCGUAAACAACAUAACAAUCUAAUUGAAAACCUUCCAAAAUGGUAUGAAAAGAUUUUUUUUGGUAAAGAGUAACCAACCAAAGAGGACGAUGGAUAUGAUAUACCUUAAUGACGACAAGUAUAAGAUACAACAAAACUGAGAGAGAUCGUCGACGCCUGAGCUGGGAGAGAUCGUCGAUGGCAGAUCGUCGACGGCGGAAUUGAGGGAGAUCGUCGAAAGAGCCGGGAGAGACCGUUGUAACUGACUUUUGAUGGAGUUGAAAGAGACUGUCACAAAGCUAUUGAAUGACGAUGUCAGAGCUGAUAGACGAUGACGACGGAUCUAGGGGACGACGAAAAAGAGUGACACCGGAACUGAUGACGGUGAGAUGAAGGAGGUGAAGACGACGACGGUGGUUGAUCGCCAGUUCAUUUUUUUUUUAUAAUUGGAGAAUUAAUGAAAAGGAUAAAAAAAUAAUUCGUCAUUUCAAAUGAAACAUUUUUGUGACAUUGGGCCUUGGAGUCUAGAUUGGGAAGAAAAAUUGAUAUAAAGCUAUCUAAUGUCAUUUCUCAAUAAAUAUUCUAAAUCUUGAAUAUUUUAUUAUCGAUUUAUUAUUGACUUUUCGAGGAAUAAAGAUUAUGCACAAAAAUCCAUAUAAAUCAACUAUCUUUCUUAAAGUUGAUAAACUACU
Brassica napus (rape) is the source of this 2892-nucleotide long non-coding RNA. RefSeq lists it as uncharacterized. NCBI's taxonomy places the organism in Eukaryota, Viridiplantae, Streptophyta, Magnoliopsida, Brassicales, Brassicaceae. The record is from RefSeq and is a predicted model, not a curated record. The transcript is spliced from 4 exons.